Molecule: long non-coding RNA, 229 nt
Filed under: Elaeis guineensis (African oil palm)
Lineage: Eukaryota; Viridiplantae; Streptophyta; Magnoliopsida; Arecales; Arecaceae
Description: long non-coding RNA (EGUI_LNC030164)
Source: RNAcentral
GGGUCCGGACACUUUUGGCCCCCAUGACCAUCUGUCUCAGGUCUUGGGACUUGAGCAUUCUGGAAGGAUUCGUUGCAGAUCCGGACAUACACUGACGAGCUAUUGAUUUGAGGUGAGUAUUUUCUCACACGCUUUUGGGGCCGUUAGUCAGGAGCAGCUUGACUAGGCCUUGACGCAGACAACACAGGCUUAGAAGCAUGCAUCUUAGACUCAGGAGUGCGUAUCUCAA